UUUGAAAUAGUUGCCCCUCAAUGGUUGAAUGCGGUGGUUCUCCCUUCUGCACGAAGGAAGCAAAACGUUGAAGAAAAAAUGUGGACUUCUUAAAAGACUCCUUCCAAUUGUUCUUCUCCCUCUUCUAUCACAGUGCUUUGAGAGAAAAUGCUUUGUACGACGGCACUGAAGUGAUCUUCAUCUGAUAAAGGCUAAAUUGAGUUAUCCCAGAGGCCGAAGUUUGUUGGGAUUAAUUUGACGCGUCUCUCUACGUCAAUUUUACCACGCUGGAGUUCUGGUUUUGUUUCUUUGGCAGUCCUGACCGUGGAUAGGCUGUUGCUCACAUGCACCAUCCGGUUUGCGCAAUUCAACCUCUCUCUGUAUUUUACAUAGGGACUAAGUGACUGAGGGGAAACAUUUUAUUGAACACGAUGCAUUGGUAAAUAGAAAAUACAUUGUAAACCAUUGAAGAGAUUCUUUCGAAUGAGUUGCGUUUUUUGGUCCAUUGCGGAACCAACUGACCGCCGGUGCGUCCCGCCUUGGAGCUCGCUCAUGAUGUGUUUCGCGCGCCAUAAGAGGCCGGAACUAGCAAACCAUGGGAAUCGCAUAAUAGUGUCACAUGAAGUUUCGAUUACAACCCAGACCAAGGGACUCACUAACCGGUCUUGUAGGGAUCAAGACACAUGGAAUACAUCAGGUUGGGUCACCACAGCAACCUUGGAUGGAGGCGAAGUAUGAGAAGAGGGCGAUCGUUCAUUAAAGUCACAGUGAAGGUACAGUUAGUUAGUGUGGCUCACUGCUCUAAAUGUUAUCUGCUAAAUCAAGCAUAAAGCAUAUGCACGAUUUAAUCUUUCUCAAUAAAUGAACCAUUAUUUCUUGGCUAUCUUGGUGAAGUGAUAGGCUACGUUAUCUGUUUUGUUUAGGUUAUUGACAUUGCUUUGAUUCUGUAGAAUUCUGUUGAAAUCCCUUUUCUAAAUCCAAAGGACUGCACAACAGAACCCAAAUUUUCCCUCAUCUGGAUAGAAUAGGAAUUACACCACCAUCUAGAUUAAAUUUAACCUACUGUACACGACUGUGCAGAUUCCUUGGCUAAAGAGGAUCACUGGAACACAAACAUGUCGCGAUGUAUCAGGUAUAAAUGCAUGUUUCAAAUAUGUUUUUUGAAAAUGUUUUUUGAAAAGAAAGACCAUGUGAAAUAAUUUAAGAUUAAAUGAGAUCGGUAUUAGACUCGUUGCGUGGACGUCCAUUGGUACUUUGGAAGAUGCACAGUAAAACUAUAGAGCUGUUUCUGCCGCUUACUACAGGGCAAAUGACUUAAUACAAUGUGUCGAUUUCUAUCAAUAACCAAAUUACUAAGUAUAUUUAUUCUCAUUCAAGUUUUGUAUUGUGUCUUUAUGAAUGUAUGUCUGAGGAGAUAAUCGUUUAAACGUCUGCACUUUAACGCGGAAGAGAGCACAGCAUUGCAUGUUGUUAAGUGGCAAUAUUACAUAAUGCCAACAAGUUAGUUUAACUUUUUUCCACAGCUUUUUAAAAUUCAUUUCCAUAUUAUCAAAUCAUUAUUUAUGACUAUUUGCACCGUUAUAUAUUUUGUCUAGCAGGUUUACAUUGAUACAAGCAUGGUUUGACUAAUCUUCUUUUACUUCUGGAAUAUUCAUAAACAAUGCUAAAUGUAG
This is a long non-coding RNA of Oncorhynchus kisutch (coho salmon), 1652 nucleotides long. The record is from Ensembl. Lineage: Eukaryota; Metazoa; Chordata; Actinopteri; Salmoniformes; Salmonidae.